CGCGCACGGUCCACCUGGCGCUCGGGGCCGCGAGCGAGCGCAGCCAGGCCGCCCGGGAACUUUUUUCCUCGCGCUCUCGCUCUCCCGCUCCCCCCGCGCGUCGCCCGCCCGCCCGCCCGCCCGCCCGCUCUUCCUGUGAGGAGGAGAUCGCGUUUCCCCGCGGCACCCGCGGACACCAGGCAGCCCGGGCGGGUGCGCGGCCAGGACCCGCUCCCCGCGCCGCCUGCUCCCCGCGUUCCCGGGCGCCGCCCCCGCCCGCGUCUAGGCUCCGAGAGGCGACUUGGAGAGCAAGGCGGCGAGGGCGACUGGCGAGCCGAGCAGGCCGCCCAGCCCGCGGCUCAAGCGUCGGCGCGAGGAGGGGGCACCGCGGCCCACCUCCUUCCUGCCUGGCCGCGGGCCGGUCGGGCCGCCGCGCCUGACCCCCAUGGCCGCCGAGGCCUCCGGGCCGCUACGUCGCAGCGCCAGACGCAGGGUCCCCGAGUGAGCGCGGGCGCCGAGCCCAGAAGUUAUCUGGGGCCCAGGAGCAAGGAACAGUGGAGCCAGUCAUGGCCAUUCUGGUGUCAGCAGCCUCAGCCCAGAAGUCUAGAAAAAGCCUUCGUAGCAAAAAACCUUGGCGAGAAGGAGAGGGUAUCAAGGCUAAUCCAGGCCCCAGAAGCCAGCUAUCCAGUGGGCAAAAUGUGACCUUCCCCGACCAGGUGUCCUCGGCUUUUGUAAACAGAGAGUUCUCACCUGCUCCAGAGCCAUCUCCACUUCCACUGGACCAUGGAGUCUUCACUGCUGCAGCUCUUGUAGACCCCUAGCAAAGAAGGUUGGCUUUAAGACUCCUGCCAGUGACCUGCGGUAUGAAGAAAUACAUUAGGUCGUAGUGCUGUUCACACCCACAUCAUAUAACAGAAAUGAAAGUUUAGUAGUGAAUAAGCCCUCUGCUAUGAAUGCUGGUCUUUGAUGCCUUCUGUUCUAGUAUAUUUGACUAAAAGAAUUACUGGUUACAACCCAGUAAGUCAGUGAUUUCACAAUCUACUGAUAGGUCAUACCCAGUUUGAAAAGGCAGCCCUAGGAAAUGGAUCUGUCGUUUAUUCAUUCAACAAACAGUAAUUUAGACCCUAACAGUUG
RNAcentral lists this long non-coding RNA (1113 nucleotides) under Heterocephalus glaber (naked mole-rat). RNAcentral's name for it is "lncRNA (ENSHGLG00100044327.1)". Lineage: Eukaryota; Metazoa; Chordata; Mammalia; Rodentia; Bathyergidae. The record is from RNAcentral.